Molecule: transfer RNA, 71 nt
Rfam family: tRNA
About the family: Transfer RNA (tRNA) molecules are approximately 80 nucleotides in length.
Source: Rfam
UACCUAUUUGCUUAAUGGUAGAGCAUAAUACUCCUAAUAUUAAAGUCUGAGUUCAAAUCUCAGAUAGGUAU